Molecule: ribosomal RNA, 250 nt
Filed under: Chrysomya megacephala (oriental latrine fly)
Lineage: Eukaryota; Metazoa; Arthropoda; Insecta; Diptera; Calliphoridae
Description: partial 16S ribosomal RNA
Source: RNAcentral
UUCUAAAAUUUAUAAUAGAAUUUUAUUUUUUAGUCAAAAAGCUAAAAUAUAUUUAAAAGACGAGAAGACCCUAUAAAUCUUUAUAUUUAGGUUAUUAUAAUUUUAUAGAUUUUUUUUGUUAUAAUAAUUGAUAAUAUUUUAUUGGGGUGAUAUUAAAAUUUAAUAAACUUUUAAUUGUUUAAAUCAUUAAUUUAUGAAUAAUUGAUCCGUUAUUAGCGAUUAAAAAAAUAAGUUACCUUAGGGAUAACAG